CGGACAGAUACUGCAUCACCGGCGAAUGACGACGCCACCGUGUCCAUCGCGGGCGACCGCCGCCGCCAGCAGAUCGGGCUUGUCCUGCAUCGCCGGCGAGCUAUGCCGCCACACGUCGAGGCCGCCGCAACAUCGAGAGGCGCUGCCAGCUACAGAGAAAUUGAGAGAGAGAUAUCAGGCGGUCCAGGCCGGAUCACAAUGGACUGACAUAUAUACUGUGAUGUUGUCAUGCCUUCAAAUGUUAUCUUGAUGCCAUCAAUUUUCAUGGCUGCUGAAUGUAUGAGAGUGAAACAACAAAUCCGUUUUUACUGAUUGUUGUUUAUGCACAACGCCAUCUUUCUCUGUAAGGUGGUUUGUGACUUGAGGAAAAAGCUCUGGAUCAAGGCUCACGGAAUCGAUAUUGGCUAUGCAGUCCGUGCCCAAUCUGCAGGUGCUGGUGCCUUGUCUUCCCAAGGUGGUGGCUACCACCGCUAAUGCCUAACGGGAUGAAUAUGCACAAAAGACGCUAGUGGUUAGCAAGACCUUCAGAAGUGGUUUGUGACUUGAGGAAAAAGCUCUGGAUCAAGGCUCACGGAAUCGAUAUUGGCUAUGCAGUCCGUGCCCAAUCUGCAGGUGCUGGUGCCUUGUCUUCCCAAGGUGGUGGCUACCACCGCUAAUGCCUAACGGGAUGAAUAUGCACAAAAGACGCUUGUCAUGUGUCUACUAGACGUCGAGCUUUCUCGUUGCCGACUGGAGAAUAGAUAUGUUGGAAUAAUGCUGAUGGUGUUCUAGUUAAACUGACUGUAAUUGGAAGAGUAUUUUGGUUGGUACUUAUUUGCAGUCAACUAGUUUGAAAUAAAAUAUUUUUAUGUGA
Non-coding RNA from Lolium perenne, 853 nucleotides. NCBI's taxonomy places the organism in Eukaryota, Viridiplantae, Streptophyta, Magnoliopsida, Poales, Poaceae. The record is from RefSeq and is a predicted model, not a curated record.